Molecule: transfer RNA, 70 nt
Filed under: Nansenia ardesiaca
Lineage: Eukaryota; Metazoa; Chordata; Actinopteri; Argentiniformes; Microstomatidae
Also listed under: 3 other names
Description: tRNA-Pro
Rfam family: tRNA
About the family: Transfer RNA (tRNA) molecules are approximately 80 nucleotides in length. Their secondary structure includes four short double-helical elements and three loops (D, anti-codon, and T loops).
Source: RNAcentral
CAGAAAAUAGUUUAAUUUAGAAUUUUGGCUUUGGGAGUCAAGGGUCGGAGUUAGAAUCUCCUUUUUCUGA